Molecule: unclassified non-coding RNA, 282 nt
Filed under: plant metagenome
Description: partial contains small subunit ribosomal RNA, internal transcribed spacer 1, and 5.8S ribosomal RNA
Source: RNAcentral
UUUCCGUAGGUGAACCUGCGGAAGGAUCAUUAUUGUAUAACCGAGGUGCGAGGGCUGUCGCUGACCCGAAAGGUCGUGCACGCCCGAGUGCCCUCACACACAUCCAUCUCACCCCUAUGUGCACCACCGCGUGGGUCCCCCUUUGGCUUGUUCGGAGGGGGGCUUACGUUUUCACACAAACUUUGUAUGCAGUGUAGAAUGUAUUUUUUGUUUUUGCGAUCACGCAAUCAAUACAACUUUCAACAACGGAUCUCUUGGCUCUCGCAUCGAUGAAGAACCAGC